GGCGAACCGUGCAAACGUUGUUCGGAAUCACUGGGCUUAAAGGGCGCGUAGGCGGGCCAGCCAGUCUGUGGUGAAAGCCUCCAGCUUAACUGGAGAAGUGCCGUGGAUACUGCUGGCCUCGAGGAGGAUAGGGGCAUCUGGAACGGUCGGUGGAGCGGUGAAAUGCGUUGAUAUCGACCGGAACUCCGGUGGCGAAGGCGAGGUGCUGGGUCCUUUCUGACGCUGAUGCGCGAAAGCCAGGGGAGCAAACGGG
This 253-nucleotide ribosomal RNA is filed under the name uncultured bacterium. RNAcentral describes it as "partial 16S ribosomal RNA". It matches the Rfam family "Bacterial small subunit ribosomal RNA", at positions 524 to 776 of the family's 1533-position model. The record is from RNAcentral.